RNAcentral lists this ribosomal RNA (1070 nucleotides) under Sporormiella isopartis. RNAcentral describes it as "mitochondrial SSU rRNA". It matches the Rfam family "Bacterial small subunit ribosomal RNA", at positions 1 to 1260 of the family's 1533-position model. The record is from RNAcentral. Lineage: Eukaryota; Fungi; Ascomycota; Dothideomycetes; Pleosporales; Sporormiaceae.
AGCAACUUGCAGGAAUGAGAGUUAAUAUAAAAGAUUUAUUAACUUGCUUGACUAGGUUUUAUAAAGUUCUGGAUAAAGCUGAUAAUGACAACUUUAUAUCCAUAGGUCUCGACCAAAUCUUGUGCCAGCAGUCGCGGUAAGACAAGGGAGACGAGUGUUAUUCAUCUUAAACAGGUAUAUUGGGUACCUAGACUGUGUAUGAAGGCUUUUAUAGUACCUACUACACUAGAGUUUAAUAUGUGAGAGGAAGAUGUCAGAAUUAUUGGAGUAGAGAUGAAAUCCUUUAAUACUAAUAGGACUGAUAAUGGCGAAGGCAAACCUCUAUGUAUAUGUACUUUAAUUACAAUUUUUUUUUAGACUUAUAUUGAUUUGUUUAGAAUACUAUGUAUUAGUAUAAAAAUUGUUUUUCUACAUGGGAUAAAAAUUUUACGAAAACAGUUUAAGAUAUAUCAUUUUACUCUGAAUUUUUAUUAUAUAUGAACUCAAACACAUAGAGAUCAUAAAGGAGAAGUAAAGUACUAAACUGACGUUGAGGGACGAAGGCUCAGAGAGUGAAGAGGAUUAGAUACCCCCGUAGCCUGGGCAGACAAUGAUGAGUGCCAUAGGUUGGCUUUUAGUUGAACUAUAAAUGAAAGUGGAAGCACUCCACCUCAAGAGUAAUGUGGCAACGCAGGAACUGAAAUCAUUAGACCGUUUCUGAAACCAGUAGUGAAGUAUGUUAUUUAAUUCGAUGAUCCGCGAAUAACCUUACCACAAUUUGAAUGAUCUAAAUUAGAAUUUAAACACAAGAAGGUAUUAGACUGUUAGGAUACUUAAUUUUAUCCUGAUAUUACCUUUGUCCUUUUUGUGUUAUUUAGACCACAUGCGUUGCAUGGCUGUCUUCAGUUAAUGUCGUGAGAUUUGGUUAGGUCCAUUAAAUUAACGUAAACCCUUGUUUUAUUUAAUAUAAUAAGGCAGCUCUCCGCUCACAAUUGGAUUGAUAACAGGGACUAAGACAAGUCAUCAUGGCCUUAAUAUUGUGGGCUAUAGACGUGCCACAUAUGCCUUUACAAAGGGAUGCAAUAAUGCGA